Molecule: long non-coding RNA, 104 nt
Organism: Ipomoea nil (Japanese morning glory)
Lineage: Eukaryota; Viridiplantae; Streptophyta; Magnoliopsida; Solanales; Convolvulaceae
Exons: 3
Source: RefSeq, a predicted model, not a curated record
UGGUGAGUUCUGAGCAUUACAACACAGAGCCAUCGAAAACACAAGCAUGCAUGCAAUGGAAACUGGAAUUUUCAAAAACCCCAUUUUUAAAAAAAAUAUUUGUG